RNAcentral lists this ribosomal RNA (455 nucleotides) under uncultured bacterium. Its description in RNAcentral is "bacterial SSU rRNA". It matches the Rfam family "Bacterial small subunit ribosomal RNA", at positions 29 to 465 of the family's 1533-position model. The record is from RNAcentral.
ACGAACGCUGGCGGCGUGCUUCAUACAUGCAAGUCGUGCGAGAAUCCUGGAGCAAUCCGGGAGGACAGCGGCAGACGGGUGAGUAACACGUGGGUAAUCUACCUGAAAGUCGGGGAUAAGCCUCCGAAAGGGGGUCUAAUACCGGAUAACGUUUCUUUAAGGCAUCUCGAAGAAACCAAAGCUAGUCUCUGUUUACAAGCUAGCGCUUACAGAUGGACCCGCGCUCCAUUAGUUAGUUGGCGGGAUAACAGCCCACCAAGACUGCGAUAGAUAACCGACCUGAGAGGGUGUACGGUCACACUGGGACUGAGACACGGCCCAGACUCCUACGGGAGGCAGCAGUAGGGAAUAUUGCGCAAUGGCCUAACGGCUGACGCAGCAACGCCGCGUGGAGGAUGAAGUCUUUCGGGAUGUAAACUCCUGUCAGAGGGGAAGAAAUCUCUCCUAGAAAAUAA